Molecule: long non-coding RNA, 500 nt
Organism: Cyprinus carpio (common carp)
Lineage: Eukaryota; Metazoa; Chordata; Actinopteri; Cypriniformes; Cyprinidae
Exons: 3
Source: RefSeq, a predicted model, not a curated record
AAGGAGAAAGUGAAGCUGGUAUUACAGUAUAUGAAGACGUGAACACUGAUGGCGCUGCAAAGAAACGAUCUGAAAGUGUUGUAAACGGGAUGACCAUUUAUGAAACGGUGGAUGACACAAAACUCUCACAAAUCUUGCCUCAAACCCUGUACGACAAAAUCAGCUUUCAGCGUCACCCUGAGGUCAGCACCAGCACUUCCUCCCCUUACCAGGAAGUCCUGUGAGAGAGACACAGACAGACGGUCCGUGUAAUGUUUUGUCCUCUUAUCUCUGGAUAUCCAUAUGCAUUAUUGGCUGCAGCAGUUGACCUUUGAACUCUCGCAUUAAAUGUGCUGUGUAUUUUAAUGUAUUACGUUGACACUUUUUUAUGAAUAUUUUUUUUUUUUUUUUUUUGCAUAUGCAGAAUUCACAAUGCAACACAGUAUUACAUCAUUCAAAAAGUUGAAUUGGGCUCAGUAAGAUUCUUUUUUGAAAGAAGUAUUUUAUGCUCAGCAAGGCUG